ACGAACGCUGGCGGCAUGCCUAACACAUGCAAGUCGAACGAUUGCCUUCGGGUGAUAGUGGCGCACGGGUGCGUAACGCGUGGGAAUCUGCCCUUAGGUUCGGAAUAACAGCUGGAAACGGCUGCUAAUACCGGAUGAUAUCGCGAGAUCAAAGAUUUAUCGCCUGAGGAUGAGCCCGCGUUGGAUUAGGUAGUUGGUGGGGUAAAGGCCUACCAAGCCGACGAUCCAUAGCUGGUCUGAGAGGAUGAUCAGCCACACUGGGACUGAGACACGGCCCAGACUCCUACGGGAAGCAGCAGUGGGGAAUAUUGGACAAUGGGCGCAAGCCUGAUCCAGCAAUGCCGCGUGAGUGAUGAAGGCCCUAGGGUUGUAAAGCUCUUUUACCCGGGAAGAUAAUGACUGUACCGGGAGAAUAAGCCCCGGCUAACUCCGUG
This 434-nucleotide ribosomal RNA is filed under the name uncultured bacterium. Its description in RNAcentral is "partial 16S ribosomal RNA". It matches the Rfam family "Bacterial small subunit ribosomal RNA", at positions 29 to 507 of the family's 1533-position model. The record is from RNAcentral.